RNAcentral lists this ribosomal RNA (400 nucleotides) under uncultured bacterium. Its description in RNAcentral is "bacterial SSU rRNA". It matches the Rfam family "Bacterial small subunit ribosomal RNA", at positions 355 to 752 of the family's 1533-position model. The record is from RNAcentral.
UAGGGAAUAUUGGGCAAUGGGCGAGAGCCUGACCCAGCCAUGCCGCGUGCCGGACGAAGGCCCUCUGGGUCGUAAACGGCUUUUAUCUGCGAAGAAUAGAAGAGAUGCGUCUCUUUGUGACGGUAGCAGAGGAAUCAGCACCGGCUAACUCCGUGCCAGCAGCCGCGGUAAUACGGAGGGUGCGAGCGUUGUCCGGAUUUAUUGGGUUUAAAGGGUGCGCAGGUGGCUUAUUAAGUCUGGUUUGAAAGCAGGCGGCUCAACCGUCUAAGGUGGCUGGAUACUGGUAAGCUUGAAGGGGGUGGAGGCUGCCGGAACGGGUCAUGUAGCGGUGAAAUGCAUAGAUAUGACCCAGAACUCCGAUUGCGCAGGCAGGCGGCUACGCCCCACUUGACACUGAGGC